Molecule: ribosomal RNA, 253 nt
Filed under: uncultured bacterium
Lineage: Bacteria
Description: partial 16S ribosomal RNA
Rfam family: Bacterial small subunit ribosomal RNA
Source: RNAcentral
UACAGAGGUGGCAAGCGUUGUUCGGAAUUACUGGGCGUAAAGGGCGCGUAGGCGGCCAUCUAAGUCAGACGUGAAAUCCCCCGGCUUAACCUGGGAACUGCGUCUGAUACUGGACGGCUCGAGUUUGGGAGAGGGAUGUGGAAUUCCAGGUGUAGCGGUGAAAUGCGUAGAUAUCUGGAGGAACACCGGUGGCGAAGGCGGCAUCCUGGACCGGUAUUGACGCUGAGGCGCGAAAGCCAGGGGAGCAAACGGG